CCUACGGGAGGCAGCAGUGGGGAAUAUUGCACAAUGGGCGCAAGCCUGAUGCAGCCAUGCCGCGUGUAUGAAGAAGGCCUUCGGGUUGUAAAGUACUUUCAGCGAGGAGGAAGGCAUUAAGGUUAAUAACCUURGUGAUUGACGUUACUCGCAGAAGAAGCACCGGCUAACUCCGUGCCAGCAGCCGCGGUAAU
This 194-nucleotide ribosomal RNA is filed under the name uncultured Hafnia sp. RNAcentral describes it as "partial 16S ribosomal RNA". It matches the Rfam family "Bacterial small subunit ribosomal RNA", at positions 338 to 524 of the family's 1533-position model. The record is from RNAcentral. Lineage: Bacteria; Pseudomonadati; Pseudomonadota; Gammaproteobacteria; Enterobacterales; Hafniaceae.